Molecule: ribosomal RNA, 253 nt
Filed under: uncultured bacterium
Lineage: Bacteria
Description: partial 16S ribosomal RNA
Rfam family: Bacterial small subunit ribosomal RNA
Source: RNAcentral
UACGGAGGGUGCAAGCGUUAUCCGGAUUCACUGGGUUUAAAGGGUGCGUAGGUGGGCAAGUAAGUCAGUGGUGAAAUCUCCGGGCUUAACCCGGAAACUGCCAUUGAUACUAUUUGCCUUGAAUACUGUGGAGGUCAGCGGAAUAUGUCAUGUAGCGGUGAAAUGCUUAGAUAUGACAUAGAACACCUAUUGCGAAGGCAGCUUACUACGCAGAUAUUGACGCUCAUGCACGAAAGCGUGGGGAUCAAACAGG